AGAAUCCAGGCUGUUUGACCUGUAUCAUUUUCCACAGUUUGGCCUUUGCUGAGUGUAUACUCAUGGUGCAGUUCAACAGAUGCUUCUCUCCUCUAUUUCCUGCAAAUUGGCAGCUGGAUCCAGAGGUUAAUUGGACUUCAGUUUGAUCUCACUGGCAAGACUACAGUUUCUGUGGGUCAGGAAUCCAAGAGUGGCUUACAUGGACGGUUCUGAAGUCAUCUGAAGGCUUGACUGGACUGGAAGAUUCACUUCCAAGGUGGUACACUCCAAACCUGGACCGUUGGUGCUGGCUCUUGGCAAGGCCCUCAGUGGCUCACCAUGUGGACCUCUCCUCAGGGCUGCUUGAAUGCCCUAAUGUCCCCAGAAGCAAGUGAUCAAAAAGAACAACGCAGAAGCCACAAUGUUUUUUACGAUCUAGCACUGGAAGUAACACCCUGUCAAUCCCAUGAUGUCCUAUUGCUUACACAGGUUGGGGGAGGGGGAGGAAACUACAUAAGGACAUGAAUGUGAAAAGGAGAGAAACAUUAGGGACCAUCCUGGAGGCUGGUUGAUACUUAAAGAUAAAAUACCAGCAGAGUGUUGUGGCUCACGCCUGUAAUCCCAACACUUCGGGAGGCCAAGGCAGGAAGGUCACUUGAGGCCAAGAGUUUGAG
RNAcentral lists this long non-coding RNA (653 nucleotides) under Homo sapiens (human). RNAcentral's name for it is "non-protein coding lnc-SIPA1L1-1:3". The record is from RNAcentral. Lineage: Eukaryota; Metazoa; Chordata; Mammalia; Primates; Hominidae.